This 326-nucleotide ribosomal RNA is filed under the name uncultured bacterium. Its description in RNAcentral is "bacterial SSU rRNA". It matches the Rfam family "Bacterial small subunit ribosomal RNA", at positions 133 to 475 of the family's 1533-position model. The record is from RNAcentral.
GAAGAGGGGGACAACAGUUGGAAACGACUGCUAAUACCGCAUGAAGCAUAGGGGUCGCAUGAUCUUUAUGCCAAAGAUUUAUCGCUUCAAGAUGGCCUCGCGUCUGAUUAGCUAGUUGGCGGGGUAACGGCCCACCAAGGCGACGAUCAGUAGCCGGACUGAGAGGUUGAACGGCCACAUUGGGACUGAGAUACGGCCCAGACUCCUACGGGAGGCAGCAGUGGGGAAUAUUGGGCAAUGGGCGCAAGCCUGACCCAGCAACGCCGCGUGAAGGAAGAAGGCUUUCGGGUUGUAAACUUCUUUUAAGAGGGAAGAACAGAAGACGG